UACAGCUGUUAUAAUUACAGCAGUAUUAAUACCUGAUCUUGUCUGAUCUCAGAAGCUAAGUAAGGUUAGGCCUGAUUAGUGCUGGAAAGGGAGACCUCAAAGGAAAAUCACAUUGCUCCUAUGC
Molecule: ribosomal RNA, 124 nt
Filed under: Lepisosteus oculatus (spotted gar)
Lineage: Eukaryota; Metazoa; Chordata; Actinopteri; Semionotiformes; Lepisosteidae
Source: RNAcentral